RNAcentral lists this small RNA (104 nucleotides) under Marinobacter lutaoensis. RNAcentral describes it as "t44 RNA". It matches the Rfam family "t44 RNA". Rfam says of the family: This family consists of a number of bacterial RNA genes of between 135 and 170 bases in length. The t44 gene is found between the map and rpsB genes in all species in the full alignment apart from Shigella flexneri. The function of this RNA is unknown. Lineage: Bacteria; Pseudomonadati; Pseudomonadota; Gammaproteobacteria; Pseudomonadales; Marinobacteraceae. The record is from Rfam by way of RNAcentral.
GAAACAAACCGGCAAAUUCACACACGUGUCGGCACGUUGUCCCAGGGUGCCCGUUUCGCCAUGGCGGAACCGGGUUGGGGCAAUCGGACGCGUGGAGGACUAAC